GGGUGAGUGAGGAUUUGAGUUUAGUAGGCUAAAUAUCUUGGAUUCAAUAUUUAUUUUAACUGCAUUGAGUUGUCGAGGGAUGUGGUUUACAGUUUUUUGAAAGUAUGUUUUUUUAUUGAUUUUUUAUUUAACGUUUCACUUUAAAUAAAAUAUUUUAUUAGAUUAAGAAUUUGAAAUGAAUUUAUUUUUUCCUUAAAAUAUUUU
Molecule: long non-coding RNA, 204 nt
Filed under: Brassica napus (rape)
Lineage: Eukaryota; Viridiplantae; Streptophyta; Magnoliopsida; Brassicales; Brassicaceae
Description: long non-coding RNA (BNAP_LNC015160)
Source: RNAcentral